GUGAGGAAUUUUCCGCAAUGGGCGAAAGCCUGACGGAGCAAUGCCGCGUGAAGGAUGAAGGCCUAUGGGUUGUAAACUUCUUUUCUUAGAGAAGAAUAUUGACGGUAUCUGAGGAAUAAGCAUCGGCUAACUCUGUGCCAGCAGCCGCGGUAAUACGGAGGAUCCAAGCGUUGUCCGGAUUUAUUGGGUUUAAAGGGUGCGUAGGCGGAUCUUUAAGUCAGUGGUGAAAGCCUGCAGCUUAACUGUAGAAUUGCCAUUGAAACUGAAGAUCUUGAAUGUGGUUAAAGUAGGCGGAAUGUAUCAUGUAGCGGUGAAAUGCUUAGAUAUGAUACAGAACACCGAUAGCGAAGGCAGCUUGCUGAACCAUUAUUGACGCUGAGGCACGAAAGCGUGGGGAGCGAACAGGAUUAGAUACCCGGGUAGUCC
Molecule: ribosomal RNA, 426 nt
Filed under: uncultured bacterium
Lineage: Bacteria
Description: partial 16S ribosomal RNA
Rfam family: Bacterial small subunit ribosomal RNA
Source: RNAcentral